CCUACGUGAGGCAGCAGUGAGGAAUAUUGGUCAAUGGGCGUAAGCCUGAACCAGCCAAGUCGCGUGAGGGAUGAAGGUUCUAUGGAUCGUAAACCUCUUUUAUAAGGGCAUAAAGUGUGGGACGUGUCCUCUUUUGUAUGUACCCUAUGAACAAGCAUCGGCUAACUCCGUGCCAGCAGCCGCGGUAAUACUGAGGAUGCGAACGUUAUCCGGAUUUAUUGGGUUUAAAGGGUGCGCCGGCGGCCUGUUAAGUCAGCGGUAACAGCCCGGGGCUCCACCCCGGCGAGCCGUUGAAACUGGCGGGCUGGAGUUGGAGAGAAGUACGCGGAAUGCGCGGUGUAGCGGUGAAAUGCUUAGAUAUCGCGCAGAACCCCGAUUGCGAAGGCAGCGUACCGGCUCCACACUGACGCUGAGGCACGAAAGCGUGGGUAUCGAACAGGAUUAGAUACCCCUGUAGUC
RNAcentral lists this ribosomal RNA (459 nucleotides) under uncultured bacterium. RNAcentral's name for it is "partial 16S ribosomal RNA". It matches the Rfam family "Bacterial small subunit ribosomal RNA", at positions 338 to 795 of the family's 1533-position model. The record is from RNAcentral.